RNAcentral lists this ribosomal RNA (253 nucleotides) under uncultured bacterium. RNAcentral's name for it is "partial 16S ribosomal RNA". It matches the Rfam family "Bacterial small subunit ribosomal RNA", at positions 524 to 776 of the family's 1533-position model. The record is from RNAcentral.
UACAGAGGUCUCAAGCGUUGUUCGGAUUCAUUGGGCGUAAAGGGUGCGUAGGUGGCGGGGUAAGUCAGGUGUGAAAUCUCGGGGCUCAACCCCGAAACUGCACUUGAUACUGCCUUGCUCGAGUACUGGAGAGGAGAUUGGAAUUUACGGUGUAGCAGUGAAAUGCGUAGAUAUCGUAAGGAAGACCAGUGGCGAAGGCGGCUACCUGGCCCAACAUUGACACUGAGACCCGAAAGCGUGGGGAUCAAACAGG